RNAcentral lists this long non-coding RNA (474 nucleotides) under Phoenix dactylifera (date palm). RNAcentral describes it as "long non-coding RNA (PDAC_LNC019905)". The record is from RNAcentral. Lineage: Eukaryota; Viridiplantae; Streptophyta; Magnoliopsida; Arecales; Arecaceae.
UUCUAUUUACCACACGUAGUAAGUUCUUUUGAUCUCCUUCAAAAUAAUUCCAAACUCCCAACCUUGGAUUAAAAUACCAUAAUUAUAUUCCAAAGAAAUUAAUUUCUCUUUAUUCUACCCAGAGAUCAUAAUUGGCUUGACAGAAAUAUGAGAAAUCUUUAGUAUCAAAUACUCUUAAUAUUCUAUAAUCAUUUUUCUUUUCUUUCUCCCACAUCAUUCCAACAAAUAAGAGAUCCAUGUUAAAACAUUCCAAGUCUAAGACCAACCAAAGAAUCAUCAUCCGUAAAUGCUAAAUUUAACAUGCCCAAGAUUCUUCCAAAAGUUGUCAACAAUAGAAGAAUCCACUUGUGAGAAUUACAUAGCUACCUUUAGAUCAUCCAUAGAAUCAACAACAUUCUCCUGAAACUAACUCAAGUAUUUCAUCAUAAUGCCUUUUAGAUCAAAUAUUAAUGAUCUUAACCAGUUUCAAAAUAA